RNAcentral lists this ribosomal RNA (367 nucleotides) under uncultured organism. Its description in RNAcentral is "bacterial LSU rRNA". It matches the Rfam family "Bacterial large subunit ribosomal RNA", at positions 2099 to 2465 of the family's 2925-position model. The record is from RNAcentral.
CUUUACUGUAGCUUUGUAUUGGACUUUGAACAGAUCUGUGUAGGAUAGGUGGGAGGCUUUGAAGCAGGGUCGCUAGAUCUUGUGGAGCCAACGUUGAAAUACCACCCUGGUGAGUUUGAAGUUCUAACCUAGGUCCAUCAUCUGGAUUGGGGACAGUGCAUGGUAGGCAGUUUGACUGGAGCGGUCUCCUCCCAAAGUGUAACGGAGGAGUUCGAAGGUACGCUAGGUACGGUCGGACAUCGUGCUAAUAGCGCAAUGGCAUAAGCGUGCUUAACUGCGAGACUGACAAGUCGAGCAGAUGCGAAAGCAGGACAUAGUGAUCCGGUGGUUCUGUAUGGAAGGGCCAUCGCUCAACGGAUAAAAGGUA